CAGUAGCCACGGUAAUACAGAGGGUGCGAGCGUUAAUCGGAUUUACUGGGCGUAAAGCGUGCGUAGGCGGCUUCUUAAGUCGGAUGUGAAAUCCCUGAGCUUAACUUAGGAAUUGCAUUCGAUACUGGGAAGCUAGAGUAUGGGAGAGGAUGGUAGAAUUCCAGGUGUAGCGGUGAUAUGCGUAGAGAUCUGGAGGAAUACCGAUGGCGAAGGCAGCCAUCUGGCCUAAUACUGACGCUGAGGUACGAAAGCAUGGGGAGCAAACAGGAUUAGAUACCCCAGUAGUCCCUGUCUCUUAUAC
Molecule: ribosomal RNA, 301 nt
Filed under: uncultured bacterium
Lineage: Bacteria
Description: partial 16S ribosomal RNA
Rfam family: Bacterial small subunit ribosomal RNA
Source: RNAcentral